GGGCACUCUAAGGAGACUGCCGGUGACAAACCGGAGGAAGGUGGGGAUGACGUCAAGUCAUCAUGGCCCUUACGGCCAGGGCUACACACGUGCUACAAUGGUCGGUACAAAGGGUUGCCAAACCGCGAGGUGGAGCUAAUCCCAUAAAACCGAUCGUAGUCCGGAUCGCAGUCUGCAACUCGACUGCGUGAAGUCGGAAUCGCUAGUAAUCGUGAAUCAGAAUGUCACGGUGAAUACGUUCCCGGGCCUUGUACACACCGCCCGUCACCCCAUGGGAGUGGGUUGCUCCAGAAGUAGCUAGUCUAACCUUCGGGGGGACGGUACC
RNAcentral lists this ribosomal RNA (325 nucleotides) under Ectopseudomonas oleovorans. RNAcentral describes it as "partial 16S ribosomal RNA". It matches the Rfam family "Bacterial small subunit ribosomal RNA", at positions 1133 to 1457 of the family's 1533-position model. Lineage: Bacteria; Pseudomonadati; Pseudomonadota; Gammaproteobacteria; Pseudomonadales; Pseudomonadaceae. The record is from RNAcentral.